This 315-nucleotide unclassified non-coding RNA is filed under the name plant metagenome. RNAcentral describes it as "partial contains 5.8S ribosomal RNA, internal transcribed spacer 2, and large subunit ribosomal RNA". The stretch from base 1 to 105 matches the Rfam family "5.8S ribosomal RNA", at positions 50 to 154 of the family's 154-position model. The record is from RNAcentral.
GAAAUGCGAUAACUAAUGUGAAUUGCAGAAUUCAGUGAAUCAUCGAGUCUUUGAACGCACAUUGCGCCCCCUGGUAUUCCGGGGGGCAUGCCUGUCCGAGCGUCAUUGCUGCCCUCAAGCCCGGCUUGUGUGUUGGGUCGCCGUCCCCCUCUCCGGGGGGACGGGCCCGAAAGGCAGCGGCGGCACCGCGUCCGAUCCCGAGCGUAUGGGGCUUUGUCACAUGCUCUGUAGGAUUGGCCGGCGCCUGCCGACGUUUUCCAACCAUUUUUUCCAGGUUGACCUCGGAUCAGGUAGGGAUACCCGCUGAACUUAAGC